GUUUAUAGCUCAGUGGUAGAGUCCUUGCCUAGCAUGUGUGAGGCACUGGGUUCAAUCCUCAGAACUAAAUA
This 71-nucleotide transfer RNA is filed under the name Marmota monax (woodchuck). RNAcentral describes it as "tRNA.Ala". Lineage: Eukaryota; Metazoa; Chordata; Mammalia; Rodentia; Sciuridae. The record is from RNAcentral.